UUGAAAGGGAAACGAUUGAAGUCAGUCGUGCUGGCGCGAAACAACCUUCUCAUCGCGAGAUCACAUGGGGGCGAGGCUCAAAACCCUCACGAAGCGUGAUCACUUGGAGAAAUGGCACUUUUUCGUGCCCUGGUUAACAUCUAUUUUUAACGUCAUAAAAAGGGUGUGGGGAUGUGGGUCUCUCGGGGGUGUUAUAUACUUUAGCGGAAUGUGNGGUUCGGGAUUGAGANUUGUGNNAAAUACCUUUAGGGCUGUUCCCCCUGGCUUCUCAUUGGUAUACUGGGGACGACAGCUUGCUGACGUUGUUAGGAUUCGCCUUUGAACAGGCUAGAGUGUGAGCAAAUUCGUUAAGGAUGUUGACGUA
This 364-nucleotide ribosomal RNA is filed under the name uncultured Glomeromycotina. RNAcentral's name for it is "LSU rRNA". Lineage: Eukaryota; Fungi; Glomeromycota. The record is from RNAcentral.